UACGUAGGUGGCGAGCGUUAUCCGGAAUGAUUGGGCGUAAAGGGUGCGCAGGCGGUCCUGCAAGUCUGGAGUGAAACGUAUGAGCUCAACUCAUGCAUGGCUCUGGAAACUGGAGGACUGGAGAGCAGGAGAGGGCGGUGGAACUCCAUGUGUAGCGGUGAAAUGCAUAGAUAUCACGCAGAACCCCGAUUGCGAAGGCAGCAUACCGGUGCACAACUGACGCUCAGGCACGAAAGCGUGGGUAUCGAACAGG
RNAcentral lists this ribosomal RNA (253 nucleotides) under uncultured bacterium. Its description in RNAcentral is "partial 16S ribosomal RNA". It matches the Rfam family "Bacterial small subunit ribosomal RNA", at positions 524 to 776 of the family's 1533-position model. The record is from RNAcentral.